UUCGGUGGUCAUCGCGUGAGGGAAACGCCCGGUUACAUUCAGAACGUGGAAGCCAAGCCCAACAGCGCCCACGGUACGGCAUGGGGGCCCCUGUGGGAGAGUAGGACGCCGCCGAAC
This 117-nucleotide ribosomal RNA is filed under the name Streptomyces rubellomurinus subsp. indigoferus. Lineage: Bacteria; Bacillati; Actinomycetota; Actinomycetes; Kitasatosporales; Streptomycetaceae. The record is from RNAcentral.